Long non-coding RNA from Python bivittatus (Burmese python), 1699 nucleotides. RefSeq lists it as uncharacterized. Lineage: Eukaryota; Metazoa; Chordata; Lepidosauria; Squamata; Pythonidae. The record is from RefSeq and is a predicted model, not a curated record.
CAUAUGCAAACAUUGCACCUUGCUUUGUGGUGCUCUGCUGAAGGAAUUUGCUCAGAGGCCAAUCAGACACCAUGACUUGACUCAGAUCUCUAGGAAGUAGUAGCCUACAUGAAACCUCAGACUGGAGGCAAAGUAGUCCAGGAUCCUGAGAGGUUGUUGACACAGGAUUAAAACCCCAUACGACAAGAAUCUUAUGUCUGAUUCAGAGGAUGAGAUCUUAGAAGGACUCAACCCUAGAGACCUGGGCAGUGUGACAGCCUCGUGCUGCCCUAUCAGAACCCUCAACAUACAGAAAGAGCAGAGAAAAUUUCAGGACACCACCAAUCAUCAUGGGAAGAAGAAGGAAGAGACACUGGACACAUUCUGCAACACGAGCUACAUCUGAGCCCACAAAACAGCUGAAAGUGGACAGUUACCUAACAAGCAGGCAGCCACCUCCUAUUCCUCAAGUAUCUAUGCAGAAUUUGCUGUCAUCCUCAUAAAUGUGGUGGAUCACAGGCUGGCUUCCCUAAGGCAUGGGAAAAUGUGUGGGAAAAUGUUGUGGAAUUCUCUCAACAAAGAGGCUUGACACUUUUUUUGUGAUGGUUUUCUGGAUUUCAGCUUUUCAGAAAGGUGGAGCGAAUUAUAACCCUUUGCAAACAAUGGACUGCUUAACAAGAGUAGCUCUCCAAAAGAAGGAGCAACAGGUUAACCAAAUAGUAGAGACCUGCUGCAAUAUAGAUGCUCCAGGAACAUUACCCCCAGGAGAACACUGAGCAGGACGUUCAUAUGGAAGCCUUUCUGGAAACCUUGGAGCAUGUAUACAGACAUACCUGAAACAAGGAGUAAGAUAUUUGCUAUGAAAUACACCAGUAAGUGUGUUGUGUAUCCAAUUUUCUAUUAGUAAUUAUGCUGGGAGUUGUCUUCUUUCAGGUUUUUUUUUCCUUACUUGGAAUUUAGUGGAAAUAUCGGAAUACUCAUUUUUAUGACUCAAAUUGGCUUUUUUUUUUUUCCUCCCAUAAUGCUCUGAUACUGCUUUGACAGUGGCUGCAGUUUUCCUCUAAACUGAUGGAUAAUUUUGACCUCCAUGAAAAAUUUAGAAAAAUGUAUUUUCUCAUAUUGGCUUUCCACAUCCCAGUUCACAAAAUUCCAGGCACCAUUUUGCUUCAGCUUAUUCUAGAGUUAACUUAUAUUAGAAUAAUGUAGCUUAGACAUAAAUUUAUUUCUUUGGAAAUCUCAUUUUAAGUGCAAUUGAAAUUUGAGGACUGGGUCUUAGAAUUUAGAUACAUAAUGAUAGGUUUCUCAACAGUUCAUAAGUGCUCACAAAAAUAUGAUUUUGCUUGCAGAGCCUAAAUUUCAGUAUUAGAAUUUCAGCCACAUUAUUUAGUGAUGUUCACAAGUUUCUAGUCAUGAAUGUGAUCCAGAAAUCAAAUCUUCCCUGUUUAUCAAAGAGAGAAAAAAACGUUGUAUGGAUUUAAUAAUUUCCUAUUCAUUAUAUACAAGUCAUUUCACUAACAUUUCCUGGAUAACAUACUUUUAGGCUUCAAUAGCAGUUAUGCAGCCCUGACUGUCCGUAUCUUAUGGCUCUGUGACAGAAUACACUGCCUUGCAUGGAAAAUCUUCCAAUUCAAUCCUGGCAUUUUCCAGGUCAGAGGGAAAAAAAAGAUCCAUGUAUGAAUCCUUGAAGACUGAGAGGAGGGAACAAAGGAGGGCAAACUGA